GACGAACGCUGGCGGCGUGCCUAAUACAUGCAAGUUGAGCGCUGAAGGUUGGUACUUGUUCCAACUGGAUGAGCAGCGAACGGGUGAGUAACGCGUGGGGAAUCUGCCUUUGAGCGGGGGACAACAUUUGGAAACGAAUGCUAAUACCGCAUAAAAACUUUAAACACAAGUUUUAAGUUUGAAAGAUGCAAUUGCAUCACUCAAAGAUGAUCCCGCGUUGUAUUAGCUAGUUGGUGAGGUAAAGGCUCACCAAGGCGAUGAUACAUAGCCGACCUGAGAGGGUGAUCGGCCACAGUGGGACUGAGACACGGCCCAAACUCCUACGGGAGGCAGCAGUAGGGAAUCUUCGGCAAUGGACGAAAGUCUGACCGAGCAACGCCGCGUGAGUGAAGAAGGUUGUCGGAUCGUAAAACUCUGUUGGUAGAGAAGAACGUUGGUGAGAGUGGAAAGCUCAUCAAGUGACGGUAACUAACCAGAAAGGGACGGCUAACUACGUG
This 497-nucleotide ribosomal RNA is filed under the name uncultured bacterium. RNAcentral's name for it is "partial 16S ribosomal RNA". It matches the Rfam family "Bacterial small subunit ribosomal RNA", at positions 28 to 507 of the family's 1533-position model. The record is from RNAcentral.